UUUUUUACUAUUAUAACAUAAUGUGAUGCACUUCAGUGAAGGAAUAUGAUGACACAUAGGGUUAUGGAUAUCUUGUGGAUUUUUAAAUAAUGUAUGUCAAUAUCUGUGACAUUUGUAUUUAGGCAAUUUCUUUAUUUAUGGAAAAACAAAUAGCAAAUGUUAUGGUGGGAAAGUGGUUAAAUUGAUACCCUAAGAAGUUGCUAGCUAAUUAACUGUAACUAUGCAUGUUUAUCUUCAAAUUAAAACAAGUAAGGGAAUCUUCUCGCUGUUACAACAGCAGACAACGUAUUCAAGAUACUUGCAAAUGCUGCUGGUCUCAGAUCUUUAAGACCCAUUGAACCCCCCAUCUUUUGAUGCAUUGAGAUCGCCCAUUGAAUCGGCUGCAGCCAAGGUUUAAAUCAUUUCUUUUAGUUUUGCUUGCAUGCUUUUAAAAAUAUUAAAUAAAGAUCUGUUGGGUCUAUUCAUUAGGUAGCUGGCUCUCCUGCCAUCACAAAUGACAAUCGAGUCAAUUGCAAAGUGGAAAGGAGCUCUCCUGUCAGGCCUUCUCCAAUUAUUAAUGGAGUUGAUCCAAAUGGUAGAAGCAUGGAAAAGCCAAAAACCAAGGAGGAUGUAACUGAUAGAACCAAACCUUGGCAGUUGUCUGAAAUUGUGGAUGCUGUCCAGUUCUGAUUAGUUACCAUGCCUGAAGGCACAGAUUCUUCCAGCAAGGUUGUUCGACUUCUAUAUGCAAAUUCUGGCAUUUGGGUCAGUUGGUGUUCAGAAGCUGUGGAAAUGGGCAGGGAACGAAGGAAAUCCAAAUGGAAAGCAUUCAGCUCCCUCGCCUCUCUUCUCUUCAGCUCACACCUCCGCCUCUAAUUUCUUCAGCUCACACCUCCGCCUCUAAUUUCUUCAGCUCACAGUCUCACUCACUCCCAAUCUCACCGCCGGCCCAACUGCCCUACCUCUCUCCGCCGCUCUAGCUCUCACCGCUGUCCCAAGCUGGCUUAGCUCUCUCACUCACUGUCUCACACGGCCGCUUCUCCCUCUUCAUCUCUCAGUUCUCUCACUCACACGGCCACAAGCCCACAAGCAGUCAAGCACAGGCACAGCUCCAUUUCGUCCUCGCCGUCGCUGAUCUCACUCCACCUCGUUCUCCAUUUUUUUUUUUUUUUCUAGGUUCAGUUCGUGUUUGUGAUUAUGAAAGGGAAAAUCAUAGAUCUAAAAUUUGUGUUUGGUUUGUUAUUUUGAAAGGGUAAAUCGAAGCUUCUCGCCGCAAUUUUGUGGUUUUUGAUCACUGGCUUCAUUGGUGGGUCUCUCUCGUAAUUUUUUUUUUGAUUAAAAUAUGUGAAACCCAUUUUGUAUUUGGGGACCUUCGGAUUUGUGUUUGUAUUUUUUUUUAAUUAAAAUGUGUGAGUUCUCACCGCAGUUUUUGGUUGUUGAUGGUUGCAAGGAAACGUUUUUCUCGGCUUUGUUUGUUUAUUUAUUUUAUUGUUUAGCUGUUGGGUUAAGGAUCUUCUGUUCAGAUCAUUUUGGUUGAUUGCCAUUUGUUUUGGUUUUUAGGUAGUUUCUAUUUUUUGGGUUACAUGUUUUGCAAAAGAAUCCCAUUAUUCCAUUCCAUUUUGGUUAGUAAUGAACAGUCUAUAAUGAGGAAAACCAUUUCAUUCUUUUUCGGGUUGUUUUGAAUCUUUUGAUUGUCCAUUGAUGAUUCAGAAUCUUGCCUCCAAUAUUUUGUUGCAGGCAUAGGCAUUGAUUCUUUUUUCUCAGGAAAACAAAUUUUUUUUUUUAAUUGAUUGGGCUACGGAUUGGACCACUGUUAGGGGCUGAAGAUUGGGCCAUGAAGUGGCCUGGCUGAGCGGGCCCGUGGGGCCCGGCGGGCGUGGGUCCGGGCCCCGGGAAAAAAAUCCGUCGGGUCGGGUUUGGGCUGCAGGUUAAGACCCGCGGGUCGGGUCCGGGGUAUGGAAAAACCCGGCCCAAACCCGACCCGUUGCCAUUCCUACAAACAGUGGUCUUCUUAUGGCUAAUGAUGUCUCAGGUGUCAUCCUUGAAGAAUCAGUACCAUGUAUGGUACUAUCAAAAAAUGACUCGUGAUGUCAGCCUGUGGUGAAAAGGUUUCAUUAUUUAAUAUGAUGACAUUCAAGGUAAUGACAACAUUUAUGCCAGCACCCCCUGCUUCUACCUUCCUAGCAUUUCAUCCUCAAGACAAUGUGCAUCAUAGCUAUUGGAAUGGAGGAUUCAACUAUACACAUAUAAUGUUAGAGUUGAUAAGGUAAAAUCAAAACUCAAGGGACACCAGAAGCGAAUAACUGGUUUAGCUUUCUCAAUGAAUCUUAAUAUCCUGGUUUCGUUGGGGGCUGAUGCUCAACCUUGUUCAAGGGGAUUUGCUACUAGUGGAAAAACAUUCUUAAUGUGUGGGUGGCUCAGCGGCUAUAGAAGAUGCAAUAAUCUUGGCCAGAUGCUUUGCACGAAAGAUGCAUGGAGAUAGAGGUCAGGUCAUUGAGCACAAAGUUGGAGAAGCCGUGGAUGAAUACGUGAAAGAACGGAGGAUGAGAUUGGUUUGGUUGUCAACACAAACUUAUCUCGUGUGUUUACUGGUAAAAAAAUCACCAUGGCUAGUGAGAUUUGCAUGUAACAUUCUCAUGAUGGUUUUCUUCUCUGACUCAUCUGCUCAUACUAGGUGGUGGUAUCUUCCUAAGACUCAUGGCCACCAUCUUCGUUGUGUAAGCUCUUUUGUGUAUCAAAAUCCAAGAUGGCACAUUAAGUAAAUUCCAUUUCUUGGGCAUUAUCUUCUAGUAAAAUUAAAAGAACAAGAAUGGGAAAGAAGGAAUAGGGUAUGUAAGGGAAUCCCCAUGUUUAAAUCACAACAAGAUGAACUAUGUUAGUAUUCGGGCAUCUUUUAAGUGUGUUUUUAUAGCGGGAGAAAAGGAUCAAGACUUGACUUAGACAAGAAUUUUAGUUUGAAAGAUUUUACUCUCAAAAGGAGCGGCAAACUUAUUUUAGGACUUUUGAAAUGGUUCACGAAAAAAUUUGAAGAUUGACUCAGGCUUUUGCGUAAGAAAAUGGCUUUUCUUUACGUGAUUUAUUGCAAGAGGCUAAUGCAUAACCAUAUCCUUACAAAGUUAUAGAU
This is a long non-coding RNA of Quercus robur (English oak), 3103 nucleotides long. RefSeq lists it as uncharacterized. The transcript is spliced from 9 exons. The record is from RefSeq and is a predicted model, not a curated record. Lineage: Eukaryota; Viridiplantae; Streptophyta; Magnoliopsida; Fagales; Fagaceae.